RNAcentral lists this ribosomal RNA (449 nucleotides) under uncultured bacterium. Its description in RNAcentral is "partial 16S ribosomal RNA". It matches the Rfam family "Bacterial small subunit ribosomal RNA", at positions 29 to 523 of the family's 1533-position model. The record is from RNAcentral.
AGCGAACGCUGGCGGCAGGCCUAACACAUGCAAGUCGAACGAAGUCUUCGGACUUAGUGGCGGACGGGUGAGUAACACAUGGGAACGUACCUUUUGGUUCGGAAUAACUGAGGGAAACUUCAGCUAAUACCGGAUAAGCUCUUCGGAGGAAAGAUUUAUCGCCAUUAGAGCGGCCCGCGUUGGCUUAGGUAGUUGGUGUGGUAAAGGCGCACCAAGCCUACGAUCCAUAGCUGGUCUGAGAGGAUGAUCAGCCACACUGGGACUGAGACACGGCCCAGACUCCUACGGGAGGCAGCAGUGGGGAAUCUUGCGAAAUGGUCGAAAGACUGACGCAGCCAUGCCGCGUGAAUGAUGAAGGUCUUAGGAUUGUAAAAUUCUUUUAGCAGGGACGAUAAUGACGGUACCUGCAGAAAAAGCCCCGGCUAACUUCGUGCCAGCCGCCGCUGUAA